UACGAAGGGGGCUAGCGUUGCUCGGAAUUACUGGGCGUAAAGCGCACGUAGGCGGAUUGUUAAGUCGGGGGUGAAAUCCCGGGGCUCAACCUCGGAAUUGCCUUCGAUACUGUCUGUCUUGAGUCCGGGAGAGGUGAGUGGAAUUCCUAGUGUAGAGGUGAAAUUCGUAGAUAUUAGGAAGAACACCAGUGGCGAAGGCGGCUCACUGGCCCGGUACUGACGCUCAUGUGCGAAAGCGUGGGGAGCAAACAGG
This 253-nucleotide ribosomal RNA is filed under the name uncultured bacterium. RNAcentral describes it as "partial 16S ribosomal RNA". It matches the Rfam family "Bacterial small subunit ribosomal RNA", at positions 524 to 776 of the family's 1533-position model. The record is from RNAcentral.